RNAcentral lists this ribosomal RNA (492 nucleotides) under uncultured bacterium. RNAcentral describes it as "partial 16S ribosomal RNA". It matches the Rfam family "Bacterial small subunit ribosomal RNA", at positions 29 to 507 of the family's 1533-position model. The record is from RNAcentral.
AGUGAACGCUGGCGGUAGGCCUAACACAUGCAAGUCGAACGGCAGCACAGUAAGAGCUUGCUCUUACGGGUGGCGAGUGGCGGACGGGUGAGGAAUACAUCGGAAUCUACUUUUUCGUGGGGGAUAACGUAGGGAAACUUACGCUAAUACCGCAUACGACCUACGGUUGAAAGCAGGGGAUCUUCGGACCUUGCGCGAUUGAAUGAGCCGAUGUCGGAUUAGCUAGUUGGCGGGGUAAAGGCCCACCAAGGCGACGAUCCGUAGCUGGUCUGAGAGGAUGAUCAGCCACACUGGAACUGAGACACGGUCCAGACUACUACGGGAGGCAGCAGUGGGGAAUAUUGGACAAUGGGCGCAAGCCUGAUCCAGCCAUACCGCGUGGGUGAAGAGGGCCUUCGGGUUGUAAAGCCCUUUUGUUGGGAAAGAAAAGCAGCAGGUUAAUACCCCGCUGUUCUGACGGUACCCAAAGAAUAAGCACCGGCUAACUUCGUG